CCUACGGGCGGCAGCAGUGGGGAAUAUUGCGCAAUGGGCGAAAGCCUGACGCAGCGACGCCGCGUGAGGGAUGAAGGUCUUCGGAUCGUUAACCUCUGUCAGCAGGGAAGAACGGUCACUGUGCUAAUCAGCAGUGAAUUGACGGUACCUGCAAAGGAAGCACCGGCUAGCUCCGUGCCAGCAGCCGCGGUAAUACGGAGGGUGCGAGCGUUAAUCGGAAUUACUGGGCGUAAAGCGCUCGUAGGCGGUAGGUCAAGUCAAGGGUGAAAUCCCCGCGCUAAACGUGGGAACUGCCUUUGAAACUGGAAACCUGGAGUGUGUGAGAGGAUAGUGGAAUUCCAGGUGUAGGAGUGAAAUGCGUAGAUAUCUGGAGGAACAUCAGUGGCGAAGGCGACUAUCUGGCACAUAACUGACGCUGAGGAGCGAAAGCGUGGGUAGCAAACAGGAUUAGAUACCCGUGUAGUC
RNAcentral lists this ribosomal RNA (465 nucleotides) under uncultured bacterium. RNAcentral's name for it is "partial 16S ribosomal RNA". It matches the Rfam family "Bacterial small subunit ribosomal RNA", at positions 338 to 795 of the family's 1533-position model. The record is from RNAcentral.